GAUUAUCGGAGGAUAAGACCUGAAUUCAUAAUC
Non-coding RNA from Flavobacterium suncheonense GH29-5 = DSM 17707, 33 nucleotides. The record is from Rfam. Lineage: Bacteria; Pseudomonadati; Bacteroidota; Flavobacteriia; Flavobacteriales; Flavobacteriaceae.